CGUGAUCAUGACUUCCUUCCUCAGUCUUCAGGGCCAGCAACAUAGCAUCUCUCUGACCCUGUUUCUUUUUUCUUUUUAUUUUAUUUUAUUAUUAUUAUACUUUGGCAAAGUACAGUCCACAAACAUGAGUGUCUAUUUCUUGGGAAUCUUCUAUAUAACUAAGCCUUGUUAGCCUUUGGCUCAGGGGGCCUACUGUAUGCACAAAUUCUGCAUCCAAAAAGCAGUGCUAAGUCCAUUCUCUAGUUACCAUAAACGACUUGACAAAAUCAACAGAACGCUGAUGAGCCAAUCUUCUGAUAAUGGGAGUGAAAAGAUAGAAUGUCUAGAUCUGGACCAAAACCAGCUCAACCAUUUGCAUGGCAAUUUCAAAUAUAGAUAGGGUCUGAAAGAAAAUUUGUAUUGCCGAGUUAUGAAGAAAUGAAUUUGCAUUUUGCCUGGGCCACUCAAUAAUUAUUCUUUAAAACUAACAAAGAGCAGGCAAGAUAUAGGACAAUUAUAGGAAGGAGAGCAAAUAUGGAAUCAAUCUUGCAGCAAGAGCCCAGAAAUGACUGUCCAAUAAUGAAACAAUUUGAAGAGAGAAAAAUCUGUAAACAUUUAGAGGGACAGUGAAAUCAUAAGCAAUAAGGGGAAAGAUUUGUGAAUAUCAAACCCUGCCAAGUCUGAAGUUCUCCUCCCCCCACACUAAGUUUUUAGAAUUAUUCGAUUAAAUAAAUGUUUAGAAAGCCACCCCACAUUUGGGGAUGCAAUUAAUAAUGAGUAUAGAAAAGAAUUACGGCAAACUAAAUAUAGAAGGGAACUUCCAAGAGCAUCUGGUUCAGCCAUGCAAUGUAACAGAUGAAGAA
RNAcentral lists this long non-coding RNA (842 nucleotides) under Pan troglodytes (chimpanzee). RNAcentral describes it as "long non-coding RNA NONPTRT007532". Lineage: Eukaryota; Metazoa; Chordata; Mammalia; Primates; Hominidae. The record is from RNAcentral.